AAGAAAAAAGGUGGUCACAUGACAUGCGCAAGUAAACAGAAACGCUCGUAUUAAUCUAACAAAUAUUUAAAUUGAAACAACAUGAAGGGUUUGUUCUGCCAAAUUACUGGCAGCGAGCUCAAAUUCGUCGUCCAGGAAACGACCCUUCCUGAGAUCUUCGGCAGUCAUGACGUCAGAGUGAACGUAAAAGCGUGUGGUCUCAGCCCAGUGGACCUCAAGUUUUUGGAAGACAUGGGGCUGCAGGGAGAUACGAUUCCCCUCGGCAGGGAGAUGGCGGGCAUUGUACAACGAGUCGGUCCAAAAGUCACUUUCUUCCAACCCGACGACGAAGUUGUGGGUAUUCUACCGCUGGACUCCGUCUGCUCGGGACUCAGCGAGGUCAUUGACAUAAAUGAGCAGUAUCUAGUCCCAAAGCCGGAGAAGCUGAGCUGCACCACCGUGGCCGCGGCAUUAGAAGACGGCCUGUGUGCGUACCGUGCCCUCCACACGCACGCUCACAUGGCAGCUGGUCAGAUGCUCCUGGUGAUGGACGGCGCCAGCUCUUUUGGCCUGAUGUGCAUCCAGCUGGCGUGCUACCACGGUGUGAAGGUUCUGACCACAUCACACUCGCAGGAGCAGCACACUUUCUUGGAGCAGCUAAGGCCCGCUGUAGUGAGGGUGAUUCCCAUCUACAAAAACUCAUCGGAGCUUCUUGCGGCAGUUAUGGAGGAGACAGGCUGUCUGGGAGUGGACAUAGUUGUCGACCAAGGCGUUAGUCUGCAAGAAAAGGAGAUCCCAGACGAGGAGGAGGGGAGAGAGGAGGCGACGUUCCUCCCACACAAGCAUGACAUCAUCAGUAUGUUGGCAGUGGGGGGCCACUGGGUGACGUCCCAACAAGACUUGCAACUAGAUCCUCCUGACACCCGGUUAAUGUUCUUGAAGUCUGCCUCCGUGUCAUUCCUCAACCCUCACGUGUGGUUGGCGUCGUCAUUCCAGCAGGGACGACACCUCCAUAUUCUCAAGGACAUUAUGGAGAAGAUGUCCUCUGGAGUACUCAGACCUCAGCCCGAGGAGGCAGUUCCUCUACGGGAAGCGGCGGCCGCCAUGGAGGACGUGCAACUUCAGAACAAGAAAAAGGCUGUGGUUGAAAUGUAACGACGGCUUGAGUUAGGUGGCGGGACUGUCGACCAAGUGACGGGGCCAAUGGAAGCGGGAGCAACAGCCUUCUCUUUCUAAUCACGUAGCAACGUGCUUGUCGCCACAGUUGUGUUGAGCUUGUCAAUCAGUCAAUAGUUGGCCACAUCAAGUACAGUCUUGCCGCUGAACAUGCCCGACACUUGGCUCUAUUUCAGUGAGAUUUUUUUUUUUUCUUGCUGGUCUCUCUCUGCGGGGCACACAGUGUCCACCAUGCUGUACAAAAACAUGUUCAAUAAAGCCCAAGCGUCUUGCGUGAAGCCGCAGAGACUGGACCAGCUGCAGCUGCUCCAGGAGCAAGGGCGCCCCCUGUUGGAGAAGACUGGAGAUCUGGAUAGAAAAAGACGAUUACUGUGGUGGCUAGCGAUAAAAUACAAUUCAUAACUUA
Molecule: RNA transcript, 1561 nt
Organism: Syngnathus acus (greater pipefish)
Lineage: Eukaryota; Metazoa; Chordata; Actinopteri; Syngnathiformes; Syngnathidae
Gene: cryzl1
Gene name: crystallin, zeta (quinone reductase)-like 1
Exons: 13
Source: RefSeq, a predicted model, not a curated record